GAUGAACGCUGGCGGCGUGCCUAAUACAUGCAAGUCGAGCGAACGGACGAGAAGCUUGCUUCUCUGAUGUUAGCGGCGGACGGGUGAGUAACACGUGGAUAACCUACCUAUAAGACUGGGAUAACUUCGGGAAACCGGAGCUAAUACCGGAUAAUAUUUUGAACCGCAUGGUUCAAAAGUGAAAGACGGUCUUGCUGUCACUUAUAGAUGGAUCCGCGCUGCAUUAGCUAGUUGGUAAGGUAACGGCUUACCAAGGCAACGAUGCAUAGCCGACCUGAGAGGGGGGACGGCCACCCGGGAACCGAGAACCGGGCCCAGCCCCCACGGGGGGGCAGCGGUGGGAAUCUUUCCGCAAGGGCGAAAGCCUGAACGGGCAACGCCGCGGGGGGGGAGAAGGUUUUCGGGUUGGAAAAACCUUUUAUUUGGGAAAGAAAAAUGUUUAAGGAAACGUGCACAAUUUGACCGGUCCCAAUCCAAAAGGCCCGGCCAAACUCGGG
Molecule: ribosomal RNA, 497 nt
Filed under: uncultured bacterium
Lineage: Bacteria
Description: partial 16S ribosomal RNA
Rfam family: Bacterial small subunit ribosomal RNA
Source: RNAcentral